This 460-nucleotide ribosomal RNA is filed under the name uncultured bacterium. RNAcentral's name for it is "partial 16S ribosomal RNA". It matches the Rfam family "Bacterial small subunit ribosomal RNA", at positions 338 to 795 of the family's 1533-position model. The record is from RNAcentral.
CCUACGGGAGGCAGCAGUGAGGAAUAUUGGUCAAUGGGCGGAAGCCUGAACCAGCCAAGUCGCGUGAGGGAAUAAGGCCCUACGGGUCGUAAACCUCUUUUGCCGGGGAGCAAGGGCGGGGACGUGUCCCGGCCCGGAGAGUACCCGGAGAAAAAGCAUCGGCUAACUCCGUGCCAGCAGCCGCGGUAAUACGGAGGAUGCGAGCGUUAUCCGGAUUUAUUGGGUUUAAAGGGUGCGUAGGCGGGCUUUUAAGUCAGCGGUAAAAAUUCGGGGCUCAACCCCGUCCGGCCGUUGAAACUGGCAAACUGGAGUGUGUGAGAGGAUAGUGGAAUUCCAGGUGUAGGAGUGAAAUCCGUAGAUAUCUGGAGGAACAUCAGUGGCGAAGGCGACUAUCUGGCACAUAACUGACGCUGAGGAGCGAAAGCGUGGGUAGCAAACAGGAUUAGAUACCCCUGUAGUC